AGUCGAGCGGAAGAAGGGAGCUUGCUCCCGGAUGUUAGCGGCGGACGGGUGAGUAACACGUGGGUAACCUGCCUGUAAGACUGGGAUAACUCCGGGAAACCGGAGCUAAUACCGGAUAGUUCCUUGAACCGCAUGGUUCAAGGAUGAAAGACGGUUUCGGCUGUCACUUACAGAUGGACCCGCGGCGCAUUAGCUAGUUGGUGGGGUAAUGGCUCACCAAGGCGACGAUGCGUAGCCGACCUGAGAGGGUGAUCGGCCACACUGGGACUGAGACACGGCCCAGACUCCUACGGGAGGCAGCAGUAGGGAAUCUUCCGCAAUGGACGAAAGUCUGACGGAGCAACGCCGCGUGAGUGAUGAAGGUUUUCGGAUCGUAAAGCUCUGUUGUUAGGGAAGAACAAGUGCGAGAGUAACUGCUCGCACCUUGAAGGUACCUAACCAGAAAGCCACGGCUAACUACGUGCCAGCAGCCGCGGUAAUACGUAGGUGGCAAGCGUUGUCCGGAAUUAUUGGGCGUAAAGGGCUCGCAGGCGGUUUCUUAAGUCUGAUGUGAAAGCCCCCGGCUCAACCGGGGAGGGUCAUUGGAAACUGGGAAACUUGAGUGCAGAAGAGGAGAGUGGAAUUCCACGUGUAGCGGUGAAAUGCGUAGAGAUGUGGAGGAACACCAGUGGCGAAGGCGACUCUCUGGUCUGUAACUGACGCUGAGGAGCGAAAGCGUGGGGAGCGAACAGGAUUAGAUACCCUGGUAGUCCACGCCGUAAACGAUGAGUGCUAAGUGUUAGGGGGUUUCCGCCCCUUAGUGCUGCAGCUAACGCAUUAAGCACUCCGCCUGGGGAGUACGGUCGCAAGACUGAAACUCAAAGGAAUUGACGGGGGCCCGCACAAGCGGUGGAGCAUGUGGUUUAAUUCGAAGCAACGCGAAGAACCUUACCAGGUCUUGACAUCCUCUGACAACCCUAGAGAUAGGGCUUUCCCUUCGGGGACAGAGUGACAGGUGGUGCAUGGUUGUCGUCAGCUCGUGUCGUGAGAUGUUGGGUUAAGUCCCGCAACGAGCGCAACCCUUGAUCUUAGUUGCCAGCAUUCAGUUGGGCACUCUAAGGUGACUGCCGGUGACAAACCGGAGGAA
RNAcentral lists this ribosomal RNA (1126 nucleotides) under Bacillus safensis. RNAcentral's name for it is "bacterial SSU rRNA". It matches the Rfam family "Bacterial small subunit ribosomal RNA", at positions 60 to 1171 of the family's 1533-position model. The record is from RNAcentral. Lineage: Bacteria; Bacillati; Bacillota; Bacilli; Caryophanales; Bacillaceae.